GCCGGGUGUGGUGGCUCACACCUGUAAUCCUAGCACUUUGGGAGGCCGAGGCGGGUGGAUCACCUGAGGCCGGGACUUCAAGACCAGCCUGGCCAACAUGGUGAAACCCUGUCUCUA
RNAcentral lists this non-coding RNA (117 nucleotides) under Pan paniscus (pygmy chimpanzee). Lineage: Eukaryota; Metazoa; Chordata; Mammalia; Primates; Hominidae. RNAcentral also lists the same sequence under 1 other name. The record is from Rfam by way of RNAcentral.